Molecule: transfer-messenger RNA, 371 nt
Filed under: Buchnera aphidicola (Hyadaphis tataricae)
Lineage: Bacteria; Pseudomonadati; Pseudomonadota; Gammaproteobacteria; Enterobacterales; Erwiniaceae
Rfam family: transfer-messenger RNA
About the family: Bacterial tmRNA, also known as 10Sa RNA or SsrA, is named for its dual tRNA and mRNA-like properties. Its role is to liberate the mRNA from a stalled ribosome.
Source: RNAcentral
GGGGCUGUUUUUGGAUUUGACAAAAUUAUCCACAUAAUAAAGUGCAUGCCGAGGGACGGUUUGCCUCGAUAAAAACCGUAAAAAAAUAGUUGCAAAAAAUAAUCAAAACUACGCUUUAGCCGCUUAAAAAACUGUUUAAAGCCUUUCCUCCUGAUUCUUUUCUCUUGAAAAAGGAAAUCGGAAAGUCAUAUUUUAAGAGAACAACAUGAAAAUCGUGCUUGAUCGAUUUCAUGCGUAAUUCUAGUUCAAGCUAUAUACCUAAAAUCGUUUUUUCAUAUUAGGUAAUGAACGUAAAAAUAGAAAAAACUAAGCAUGUAGUACUUUGUUCUCGUAGAAAUUUUGGACGCGGGUUCAAAUCCCGCCAGCUCCAA